UGAUAGGUUAAGAGCUAAUUAACUGGACGUUACCUACAGAAGAAGCACCGGCUAACUCCGUGCCAGCAGCCGCGGUAAUACGGAGGGUGCGAGCGUUAAUCGGAAUUACUGGGCGUAAAGGGUGCGUAGGUGGUUUGAUAAGUUAGUUGUGAAAUUCCUGGGCUCAACCUAGGCACUGCAACUAAUACUGUUGAACUCGAGUAUGGGAGAGGGCAGUGGAAUUUCCGGUGUAGCGGUGAAAUGCGUAGAGAUCGGAAGGAACACCAGUGGCGAAGGCGGCUGCCUGGCCUAAUACUGACACUGAGGCACGAAAGCGUGGGGAGCAAACAGGAUUAGAUACCCUGGUAGUCCACGCCGUAAACGAUGUCAACUAGCCGUUGGUUAUAUGAAUAUAAUUAGUGGCGCAGCAAACGCGAUAAGUUGACAUCGU
This 430-nucleotide ribosomal RNA is filed under the name uncultured Legionella sp. RNAcentral's name for it is "bacterial SSU rRNA". It matches the Rfam family "Bacterial small subunit ribosomal RNA", at positions 446 to 872 of the family's 1533-position model. The record is from RNAcentral. Lineage: Bacteria; Pseudomonadati; Pseudomonadota; Gammaproteobacteria; Legionellales; Legionellaceae.